Molecule: ribosomal RNA, 465 nt
Filed under: uncultured bacterium
Lineage: Bacteria
Description: partial 16S ribosomal RNA
Rfam family: Bacterial small subunit ribosomal RNA
Source: RNAcentral
GACGAACGCUGGCGGCGUGCUUAACACAUGCCAGUCGUACGGUAAGGCCCUUUCGGGGGUACACGAGUGGCGAACGGGUGAGUAACACGUGAGUAACCUGCCCACAACUUUGGGAUAACGCUAGGAAACUGGUGCUAAUACUGGAUAUGUGCUCCUGCUGCAUGGUGGGGGUUGGAAAGCUCCGGCGGUUGUGGAUGGACUCGCGGCCUAUCAGCUUGUUGGUGGGGUAGUGGCCUACCAAGGCGGCGACGGGUAGCCGGCCUGAGAGGGUGACCGGCCACAUUGGGACUGAGAGACGGCCCAGACUCCUACGGGAGGCAGCAGUGGGGAAUAUUGCACAAGGGGCGCAAGCCUGAUGCAGCAACGCCGCGGGCGGGAGGACGGCCUUCGGGUUGUAAACCGCUUUCAGCAGGGACGAAGCUUUUUGUGACGGUACCUGCAGAAGAAGCACCGGCUAACUACGUG